RNAcentral lists this transfer RNA (75 nucleotides) under Dialister sp. Its description in RNAcentral is "tRNA-Arg". The stretch from base 10 to 64 matches the Rfam family "tRNA", at positions 10 to 63 of the family's 71-position model. From Rfam's summary of the family: Transfer RNA (tRNA) molecules are approximately 80 nucleotides in length. Their secondary structure includes four short double-helical elements and three loops (D, anti-codon, and T loops). Further hydrogen bonds mediate the characteristic L-shaped molecular structure. tRNAs have two regions of fundamental functional importance: the anti-codon, which is responsible for specific mRNA codon recognition, and the 3' end, to which the tRNAs corresponding amino acid is attached (by aminoacyl-tRNA synthetases). tRNAs cope with the degeneracy of the genetic code in two manners: having more than one tRNA (with a specific anti-codon) for a particular amino acid; and 'wobble' base-pairing, i.e. permitting non-standard base-pairing at the 3rd anti-codon position. The record is from RNAcentral. Lineage: Bacteria; Bacillati; Bacillota; Negativicutes; Veillonellales; Veillonellaceae.
GGGGGUAUCGCCAAGCGGUAAGGNNACUGCCUUCUAAGCAGUGGGUCAGGGGUUCGAGUCCCUUCAAGCGCGCCA